Molecule: ribosomal RNA, 464 nt
Filed under: uncultured bacterium
Lineage: Bacteria
Description: partial 16S ribosomal RNA
Rfam family: Bacterial small subunit ribosomal RNA
Source: RNAcentral
GACGAACGCUGGCGGCGUGCUUAACACAUGCAAGUCGAACGAUGAACCGGUUUCGGCCGGGGAUUAGUGGCGAACGGGUGAGUAACACGUGGGCAAUCUGCCCUGCACUCUGGGAUAAGCCCGGGGAACUGGGUCUAAUACCGGAUACGACACUCCGAGGCAUCUUGGGGUGUGGAAAGUUCCGGCGGUGCAGGAUGAGCCCGCGGCCUAUCAGCUUGUUGGUGGGGUAAUGGCCUACCAAGGCGACGACGGGUAGCCGGCCUGAGAGGGUGACCGGCCACACUGGGACUGAGACACGGCCCAGACUCCUACGGGAGGCAGCAGUGGGGAAUAUUGCACAAUGGGCGAAAGCCUGAUGCAGCGACGCCGCGUGAGGGAUGACGGCCUUCGGGUUGUAAACCUCUUUCAGCAGGGAAGAAGCGAAAGUGACGGUACCUGCAGAAGAAGCACCGGCUAACUACGUG